RNAcentral lists this ribosomal RNA (465 nucleotides) under uncultured bacterium. Its description in RNAcentral is "partial 16S ribosomal RNA". It matches the Rfam family "Bacterial small subunit ribosomal RNA", at positions 28 to 507 of the family's 1533-position model. The record is from RNAcentral.
GAUGAACGCUGGCGGCGUGCUUAACACAUGCAAGUCGAACGGAAAGGCUCCUGCUUGCCGGGGUACUCGAGUGGCGAACGGGUGAGUAACACGUGGGUGAUCUGCCCUGCACUUCGGGAUAAGCCUGGGAAACUGGGUCUAAUACCGGAUAGGACGAUGGUUUGGAUGCCAUUGUGGAAAGUUUUUCGGUGUGGGAUGAGCUCGCGGCCUAUCCGCUUGUUGGUGGGGUAAUGGCCUACCAAGGCGUCGACGGGUAGCCGGCCUGAGAGGGUGUACGGCCACAUUGGGACUGAGAUACGGCCCAGACUCCUACGGGAGGCAGCAGUGGGGAAUAUUGCACAAUGGGCGCAAGCCUGAUGCAGCGACGCCGCGUGGGGGAUGACGGCCUUCGGGUUGUAAACUCCUUUCGCUAGGGACGAAGCGCAAGUGACGGUACCUGGAGAAGAAGCACUGGCUAACUACGUG